This is a long non-coding RNA of Nematostella vectensis (starlet sea anemone), 1047 nucleotides long. RefSeq lists it as uncharacterized. Lineage: Eukaryota; Metazoa; Cnidaria; Anthozoa; Actiniaria; Edwardsiidae. The transcript is spliced from 2 exons. The record is from RefSeq and is a predicted model, not a curated record.
UGAUAGAACACAGACAAAGUUAAUUGCACCGAUAUGCCUGAGUGACCGUGCACGCGAGAGAACAUGUCUAGGACGGGGAGGAAAAUUGUGCAAGGCACAGAGCGACAAAAAUGUUACAAAGCUAUACGAGUUUUCUUUACUCUUCUAAAAUUAAUAUCCCUCUUGUAGUGUAUAUGGUCUAAUGCCUGUUGUGAUAUUUCCGGGUAAUGCUUGGUAGUAAUUCGUUUACCGCUGCGAAUUGUUUAUAAAUUUGUUGCGCCUUUGGAGCGAAUCGAGGCGCGAACGACUUUAACAAAUUCUCUAUACAAUCACUUUAUCACAAGCUAUUAUAAAGUAUUUAAGUAGUUAAACAAUGCACUAUGGUACAUUUUAUCCUUAAAGUAAUUACCUACCUUUAAAGAACCAUGUACAAAAAGUUAUGAUGGAAUAAUAGGCGGUAAAAUAUGGAGGUAUGCUUAUAGAAAGCUACAAGUUAGAAAUAAUCGCAAUGUGUUAAAGUCGCUAAAUAGCUUACUUGAUUGGUAGGAAGCUAACCAAACGGUUUUAGCAUUUUGCGGUGAGAGAUAAAAUAACGGGAAAAUGCUCAGUUCACAAAGGCGGAGCAUCGAAUAAUCAACUGCCGUUUGUCGAAUGAAAAUCUAAUAUGGCAAAUAAAUAAGGUAAACUUACAUGGCUUGGCAGUGUCAAUAAACUUAGCACGUGGUUUCUUAGUAUAACAGGGAAAUGUCGAAAGGAGGGUGGAACAGUUCAAAUACGAACCAACUUGCAUGAAACUAGACUCGACUUUCCAAAAAAAAAAUCCACACUUAAUGUCAACAACAUCAAUAACCAAUCGCACUUUGGCUAACCCCAAAUUGCGUGCAUUCUUCGAAACUGGGUCGAAGCUGUCGUCUUUGCCACCGAGUUCAAAGUCAAACAGUUCAGCGUUUGUGUUAUCGUUUUCUGGAGGCGACCAACGAACGAGUUCUGGCGGUUCCAUGCUUCACGGCACUGUGUUUUUCCUCAUGAUAUUUCAGCUUUUCUUUCAUAAACGGUUCAGUUGUGACA